RNAcentral lists this ribosomal RNA (457 nucleotides) under uncultured bacterium. Its description in RNAcentral is "partial 16S ribosomal RNA". It matches the Rfam family "Bacterial small subunit ribosomal RNA", at positions 338 to 795 of the family's 1533-position model. The record is from RNAcentral.
CCUACGGGAGGCAGCAGUGGGGAAUAUUGCACAAUGGGGGAAACCCUGAUGCAGCGACGCCGCGUGAGUGAAGAAGUAUUUCGGUAUGUAAAGCUCUAUCAGCAGGGAAGAAACCCACCCUCCGGGGUGGCUGACGGUACCUGACUAAGAAGCCCCGGCUAACUACGUGCCUGCAGCCGCGGUAAUACGUAGGGGGCAAGCGUUAUCCGGAUUUACUGGGUGUAAAGGGAGCGUAGGUGGCAAGGCAAGUCAGAUGUGAAAACCCGGGGCCCAACCCCGGGAGUGCAUUUGAAACUGUCUGGCUAGAGUGCAGGAGAGGUAAGUGGAAGUCCUAGUGUAGCGGUGAAAUGCAUAGAUAUUAGGAGGAACACCAGUGGCGAAGGCGGCUUACUGGACUGUAACUGACGUUGAGGCUCGAAAGCGUGGGGAGCAAACAGGAUUAGAUACCCGUGUAGUC